AACGAACGCUGGCGGCAUGCCUAACACAUGCAAGUCGAACGAGACCUUCGGGUUUAGUGGCGCACGGGUGCGUAAAGCGUGGGAACCUGCCCUUAGGUUCGGAAUAACUCCCCGAAAGGGGUGCUAAUACCGGAUAAUGUCUUCGGACCAAAGAUUUAUCGCCUUUGGAUGGGCCCGCGUUGGAUUAGCUAGUUGGUAGGGUAAAAGCCUACCAAGGCGACGAUCCAUAGCUGGUCUGAGAGGAUGAUCAGCCACACUGGGACUGAGACACGGCCCAGACUCCUACGGGAAGCAGCAGUGGGGAAUAUUGGACAAUGGGCGAAAGCCUGAGCCAGCAAUGCCGCGUGAGUGAUGAAGGCCUUAGGGUUGUAAAGCUCUUUUACCCGGGAUGAUAAUGACAGUACCGGGAGAAUAAGCUCCGGCUAACUCCGUG
Molecule: ribosomal RNA, 433 nt
Filed under: uncultured bacterium
Lineage: Bacteria
Description: partial 16S ribosomal RNA
Rfam family: Bacterial small subunit ribosomal RNA
Source: RNAcentral